Ribosomal RNA from Phytophthora infestans T30-4, 214 nucleotides. Lineage: Eukaryota; Oomycota; Peronosporomycetes; Peronosporales; Peronosporaceae. The record is from RefSeq and is a predicted model, not a curated record.
ACUGCGGUUAGCUGAAAGCUAGUGCCGCCAAGCUACCAUCUGUAGGAUUAUGGCUGAACGCCUCUAAGUCAGAAUCCAUGCUGGAAUAGACGAUAAUCACCUUUCCCGAUGUGCCGCGAAUAGCGAUAGGUGUCUUCUGGACACCCAACAUCAUACAAUUGCAACGCACUUCGCUGCCUGUCAAGUACUGGCGGUGGAGAGUAGGCUGAUUUGU